RNAcentral lists this unclassified non-coding RNA (145 nucleotides) under soil metagenome. RNAcentral's name for it is "partial internal transcribed spacer 1". The record is from RNAcentral.
UAAUAAGUGUUUUAUGGCACUUUUUAAAUCCAUAUCCACCUUGUGUGCAAUGUCAGUCGAUCUUCUUUAUUGGAGAUCGACCAAACAUCAACCUUUAUUUUUUAACUCUUUGUCUGAAAAAUAUUAUGAAUAAACAAUUCAAAUA